RNAcentral lists this ribosomal RNA (425 nucleotides) under uncultured bacterium. Its description in RNAcentral is "bacterial SSU rRNA". It matches the Rfam family "Bacterial small subunit ribosomal RNA", at positions 355 to 772 of the family's 1533-position model. The record is from RNAcentral.
UGGGGGAUCUUGCGCUAAUGCGCGAAAGCGUGACGCAGCGACGCCGCGUGGGGGAUGAAGGCCUUCGGGUUGUAAAGCUCUGUGGGGAGAGAAGAAUAAGUUCAGGUCAAUACCCUGAAUGAUGACGGUACCUCCUUAGCAAGCACCGGCUAACUCUGUGCCAGCAGCCGCGGUAAGACAGAGGGUGCAAACGUUGUUCGGAUUUACUGGGCGUAAAGCGUGUGUAGGCGGCUUCGCAAGUUGGAUGUGAAAUCCCACGGCUCAACCGUGGACGUGCAUCCAAAACUGCGUCGCUAGAGUCUCGGAGAGGAAGGUGGAAUGCUUGGUGUAGAGGUGAAAUUCGUAGAUAUCAAGCAGAACACCUGCGGCGAAGGCGGCCUUCUGGACGAUGACUGACGCUGAGACACGAAAGCGUGGGGAGCAAA